Molecule: small RNA, 31 nt
Filed under: Bombyx mori (domestic silkworm)
Lineage: Eukaryota; Metazoa; Arthropoda; Insecta; Lepidoptera; Bombycidae
Description: ovarian small RNA-26940
Source: RNAcentral
UCCAUCAAAGGGCAGGACAAAAGUAGCCCCC